Molecule: long non-coding RNA, 382 nt
Filed under: Homo sapiens (human)
Lineage: Eukaryota; Metazoa; Chordata; Mammalia; Primates; Hominidae
Description: non-protein coding lnc-HLA-B-1:1
Source: RNAcentral
GGGAGUCAGUGCUGCUGGACCCAUAGGUAGCCUCCAAAAGCAAAGAGAUUCACAGUGUGAGCGAAAUUCAACGUGAGGGGCUUCCUCCGCUGUGAGCUUUGAAAAUGAAGGGGCCAUGUGGCAAAGGAUAUGACGGGCUCCAGGAAUUGAGAACAGCUCCACCCCACCUCCACCUGACAGCUGCCCAGGAACAAGGACUACAAUCCCACAACUGCCUGAAACUGAAUUCUGCCACCAAGCUCUGUAUAAGCUGGAAGGAGGACCCCAGCCUCAAGAUGAGGACACAGCUUCGUGAAAUCCUGAGCUGAGAAUCAUUCACACCAGGCCUGGAUUUCUCAUUAAGGAAAUGUAGAGAAAUAAAUGGGUGCUGUGUAGAGCCAGU